AGGACAAACGCUGGCGGCGUGCCUAAGACAUGCAAGUCGGACGGGAAGCUUCGGCUUCUAGUGGCGGACGGGUGAGGAGCGCGUGGAUGACCUGCCCCGUGAUGGGGGAUACCAGUCAGAAAUGGCUGUUAAGACCGCAUGAGACCCGCUGGUGCGAGUUGGUGGGGGAAAGCCGGCAACGGCGUCAGUGGGAGGGGUCCGCGUCGGAUUAGCUAGUUGGUGGGGUAAAAGCCUACCAAGGCGACGAUCCGU
Molecule: ribosomal RNA, 252 nt
Filed under: uncultured bacterium
Lineage: Bacteria
Description: partial small subunit ribosomal RNA
Rfam family: Bacterial small subunit ribosomal RNA
Source: RNAcentral